CGAAAGUUACUCUAACAAACACUUGAAUACACGACAGCUUGGAACAAACUGAGAUUAGAUACCCCACUAUGCCAAGCCGUAAAAUUAAAUUACACUACCAACGCCAGGGAAUUACGAGCUUAAGCUUAAAACCCAAAGGACUUGACGGUGACCCACCCAUCUAGAGGAGCCUGUUCUAUAAUCGAUAAUCCACGCUAUACCUUACCGUUUCUUGCUUCUCAGCUUGUAUACCUCCGUCGUAAAUUCACCGUUUGAACGAAUAGUAGUGUGUCUGACGACCACCCGCCAAUACGUCAGGUCAAGGUGCAGCUCAUGAAACGGAAAGCAAUGGGCUACAAUUUCUAACAUAGAAUAAACGAAAAACUGUAUGAAACACAGUUAUGAAGGCGGAUUUAGUAGUAAAUGGGGAGUAGAGAGCCCCCUUUAAUCUGGCCCUGGGACAUGUACAAACCGCCCGUCACCCUCUUCGA
This 470-nucleotide ribosomal RNA is filed under the name Buergeria buergeri (Buerger's frog). RNAcentral's name for it is "partial 12S ribosomal RNA". It matches the Rfam family "Bacterial small subunit ribosomal RNA", at positions 716 to 1409 of the family's 1533-position model. Lineage: Eukaryota; Metazoa; Chordata; Amphibia; Anura; Rhacophoridae. The record is from RNAcentral.